CUGAGGCUGAAGUUCAUCUCUGAUUAAUAAGGGAUACUAAUGAAGUGGCUCAACCACACAGCAUGCCCUGUGGUACAGGAGAAAUAUGGAGAAUGCAGCACACUUGCUUCCUACCGAAGUAGGUAUUUUCUUUCCAGAUUUCCUUCAGUUGUGAAGUCUGACGAUUUCAAUUUUUUUGGAUGAAAUAGAAAAUGCUCACCUAAAAAUUCUGAGGUCCUGGAGUUCUACAAAAGCAUCUGUGUGAAACAGCACCAAGAGUUAACUUAGACUUGAAAUCCCUGAGAAAAGUCACGGUGAAAAAGCUUAGAGCCACGAUAGCGGAUGGGUG
This 328-nucleotide long non-coding RNA is filed under the name Cercocebus atys (sooty mangabey). RNAcentral's name for it is "lncRNA (ENSCATG00000045387.1)". Lineage: Eukaryota; Metazoa; Chordata; Mammalia; Primates; Cercopithecidae. The record is from RNAcentral.